GGGUGUAUAGCUCAGUGGUAGAGCAUUCGACUACAGAUUGAGAGGUCCCCGUUCAAACCUGGAUGCUCCUU
Molecule: transfer RNA, 71 nt
Filed under: Trichonephila inaurata madagascariensis
Lineage: Eukaryota; Metazoa; Arthropoda; Arachnida; Araneae; Nephilidae
Rfam family: tRNA
About the family: Transfer RNA (tRNA) molecules are approximately 80 nucleotides in length. Their secondary structure includes four short double-helical elements and three loops (D, anti-codon, and T loops). Further hydrogen bonds mediate the characteristic L-shaped molecular structure. tRNAs have two regions of fundamental functional importance: the anti-codon, which is responsible for specific mRNA codon recognition, and the 3' end, to which the tRNAs corresponding amino acid is attached (by aminoacyl-tRNA synthetases). tRNAs cope with the degeneracy of the genetic code in two manners: having more than one tRNA (with a specific anti-codon) for a particular amino acid; and 'wobble' base-pairing, i.e. permitting non-standard base-pairing at the 3rd anti-codon position.
Source: Rfam by way of RNAcentral